This 678-nucleotide ribosomal RNA is filed under the name uncultured beta proteobacterium. Its description in RNAcentral is "bacterial SSU rRNA". It matches the Rfam family "Bacterial small subunit ribosomal RNA", at positions 52 to 723 of the family's 1533-position model. Lineage: Bacteria; Pseudomonadati; Pseudomonadota; Betaproteobacteria. The record is from RNAcentral.
CACAUGCAAGUCGAACGGCAGCACGGGUGCUUGCACCUGGUGGCGAGUGGCGAACGGGUGAGUAAUACAUCGGAACAUGUCCUGUAGUGGGGGAUAGCCCGGCGAAAGCCGGAUUAAUACCGCAUACGAUCUACGGAUGAAAGCGGGGGACCUUCGGGCCUCGCGCUAUAGGGUUGGCCGAUGGCUGAUUAGCUAGUUGGUGGGGUAAAGGCCUACCAAGGCGACGAUCAGUAGCUGGUCUGAGAGGACGACCAGCCACACUGGGACUGAGACACGGCCCAGACUCCUACGGGAGGCAGCAGUGGGGAAUUUUGGACAAUGGGCGAAAGCCUGAUCCAGCAAUGCCGCGUGUGUGAAGAAGGCCUUCGGGUUGUAAAGCACUUUUGUCCGGAAAGAAAUCCUUGGUUCUAAUAUAGCCGGGGGAUGACGGUACCGGAAGAAUAAGCACCGGCUAACUACGUGCCAGCAGCCGCGGUAAUACGUAGGGUGCGAGCGUUAAUCGGAAUUACUGGGCGUAAAGCGUGCGCAGGCGGUUUGCUAAGACCGAUGUGAAAUCCCCGGGCUCAACCUGGGAACUGCAUUGGUGACUGGCAGGCUAGAGUAUGGCAGAGGGGGGUAGAAUUCCACGUGUAGCAGUGAAAUGCGUAGAGAUGUGGAGGAAUACCGAUGGCGAAGGCA